GAUGAACGCUGGCGGCGUGCCUAAUACAUGCAAGUCGAGCGAACGGACGAGAAGCUUGCUUCUCUGAUGUUAGCGGCGGACGGGUGAGUAAAACGUGGAUAACCUACCUAUAAGACUGGGAUAACUUCGGGAAACCGUAGCUAAUACCGGAUAAUAUUUUGAACCGCAUGGUUCAAAAGUGAAAGACGGUCUUGCUGUCACUUAUAGAUGGAUCCGCGCUGCAUUAGCUAGUUGGUAAGGUAACGGCUUACCAAGGCAACGAUGCAUAGCCGACCUGAGAGGGUGAUCGGCCACACUGGAACUGAGACACGGUCCAGACUCCUACGGGAGGCAGCAGUAGGGAAUCUUCCGCAAUGGGCGAAAGCCUGACGGAGCAACGCCGCGUGAGUGAUGAAGGUCUUCGGAUCGUAAAACUCUGUUAUUAGGGAAGAACAUAUGUGUAAGUAACUGUGCACAUCUUGACUGUACCUAAUCAGAAAGCCACGGCUAACUACGUG
RNAcentral lists this ribosomal RNA (497 nucleotides) under uncultured bacterium. RNAcentral's name for it is "partial 16S ribosomal RNA". It matches the Rfam family "Bacterial small subunit ribosomal RNA", at positions 28 to 507 of the family's 1533-position model. The record is from RNAcentral.